UUGACGCUGGCGGCAGGNCNACACAUGCAAGUCGAGCGGAUGAUACCNAGCUUGCUCNCUGAUUCAGCGGCGGACGGGUGAGUAAUGCCUAGGAAUCUGCCUGGUAGUGGGGGACAACGUNUCGAAAGGAACGCUAAUACCGCAUACGUCCUACGGGAGAAAGCAGGGGACCUUCGGGCCUUGCGCUAUCAGAUGAGCCUAGGUCGGAUUAGCUAGUUGGUGAGGUAAUGGCUCACCAAGGCUGCGAUCCGUAACUGGUCUGAGAGGAUGAUCAGUCACACUGGAACUGAGACACGGUCCAGACUCCUACGGGAGGCAGCAGUGGGGAAUAUUGGACAAUGGGCGAAAGCCUGAUCCAGCCAUGCCGCGUGUGUGAAGAAGGUCUUCGGAUUGUAAAGCACUUUAAGUUGGGAGGAAGGGCAGUAAGUUAAUACCUUGCUGUUUUGACGUUACCGACAGAAUAAGCACCGGCUAACUUCGUGCCAGCAGCCGCGGUAAUACGAAGGGUGCAAGCGUUAAUCGGAAUUACUGGGCGUAAAGCGCGCGUAGGUGGUUUGUUAAGUUGGAAGUGAAAGCCCCGGGCUCAACCUGGGAACUGCUUUCAAAACUGGCAAGCUAGAGUAUGGCAGAGGGUGGUGGAAUUUCCUGUGUAGCGGUGAAAUGCGUAGAUAUAGGAAGGAACACCAGUGGCGAAGGCGACCACCUGGGCUAAUACUGACACUGANGUGCGAAAGCGUGGGGAGCAAACAGGAUUAGAUACCUGGUAGUCCCGCCGUAACGAUGUCGACUAGCCGUUGGGCUCCUUGAAACUANUGGCNCACUACGCAUUAGUCNACNCCUGGGGAUACGCCNCAGGUUAAACUCAAUGAAUNACGGGGCCCCCCAGCGGGGACNNGGNUUAUUCAACACCGAAAACUNCAGNCUGCUGCAAANUUCNAAUGAUGGGCUCGANUUGACAGGCUCUGGUUCNNCNGGNNGAUUGGUANCCUACAGCNCCUNCUUUCCCGUAGGNCUAGACCGGNACNGAAGGGGNNCAUUGCUCNCGUCCUAAGNNAGUCCCNNGANCA
Molecule: ribosomal RNA, 1067 nt
Filed under: Stutzerimonas stutzeri
Lineage: Bacteria; Pseudomonadati; Pseudomonadota; Gammaproteobacteria; Pseudomonadales; Pseudomonadaceae
Description: Pseudomonas stutzeri partial 16S ribosomal RNA
Rfam family: Bacterial small subunit ribosomal RNA
Source: RNAcentral